UGGUGGAUAAACAGCAGCCUGUGGUGUACAGGCAGGAUCUGAGGUAGCAUCACUGAGCCACGGCAACAACUGCCCCUCGCCUGAAAGCACCUUCAUUGUUUGCCUGAAAGCUCUGUAUAAUUGAAACACUGCUUUAGUAAAAUUAGUUUGGAGCUCUUUGGAUGUCUGUUUUUUUAUCCACCAUCUGCAGAAAGAGUGUGUUACCGUGGUGAAGACACUAGAGGCAGUGGACCAGGACAAACAGGGAAUCAGAGGGAUGGGCUUCGGCCAGUUAGUCACCGCCAGGGACGCCAUCUGGACACAAAGGGACAAAUGGCUCUUGUGAGGCAGGCUGUGCGUCCUGGUGGGUGACCUGCUCUGCAUUUCCAGCGCAGCUCCUGCACUGUCUCCAAGGUGCUGUCUCAACAGUGAUGUCUUGUGACUGUAUUCCUACUCUAAUCAUCCAGUGGUUUUAUUGUUGUUUUUUGUGUUGCACUGCAAUUGGCUGUUGUAGCCGCAGAGCGAGAGGAAGUUAUCCAACUAGGAAAGUUUCUGUUUCUGAGGUUUAUCUGAAUUUACAGCACAGUCCUCAGGGUCCGUUUAUUGUUGAAUUGUAUUAAGUUCUUUUCAGCUUGUGUGUUGACUUGGAAGCUUUAUUAUUAGUUUUCUUGUGAUUGCAAUUUUUCAAGGUUCAACUGAAGUUUUCAGAAAUAAAAUAAAUCCACCAGAGGGGAGAUCUGAUGAAUUUAAAAAUGGGUAGAGUGUAUAGGGAUUUGUAAAAUGUUUGACAUGAUUUCUGGAUUUCUUCUAAUUUAGUGUACAUACAGACAUACAUACAGUGUAUAUGAGCCCCACUGCACAUGAAAUAAAGAGCACUUCCAC
This is a long non-coding RNA of Micropterus salmoides (largemouth bass), 861 nucleotides long. RefSeq lists it as uncharacterized. NCBI's taxonomy places the organism in Eukaryota, Metazoa, Chordata, Actinopteri, Centrarchiformes, Centrarchidae. The record is from RefSeq and is a predicted model, not a curated record. The transcript is spliced from 3 exons.